UACAGAGGGUGCAAGCGUUGUUCGGAAUUAUUGGGCGUAAAGCGCGUGUAGGCGGCUUUGCAAGUCGGGUGUGAAAGCCCUCAGCUUAACUGAGGAAGUGCGCCCGAAACUGCAGAGCUUGAAUACCGGAGAGGAUGGCGGAAUUCCCCAAGUAGAGGUGAAAUUCGUAGAUGUGGGGAGGAACACCGGUGGCGAAGGCGGCCAUCUGGACGGCUAUUGACGCUGAGACGCGAAAGCGUGGGGAGCGAACAGG
RNAcentral lists this ribosomal RNA (253 nucleotides) under uncultured bacterium. Its description in RNAcentral is "partial 16S ribosomal RNA". It matches the Rfam family "Bacterial small subunit ribosomal RNA", at positions 524 to 776 of the family's 1533-position model. The record is from RNAcentral.